Long non-coding RNA from Oryzias melastigma (Indian medaka), 257 nucleotides. RefSeq lists it as uncharacterized. The record is from RefSeq and is a predicted model, not a curated record. The transcript has 2 exons. NCBI's taxonomy places the organism in Eukaryota, Metazoa, Chordata, Actinopteri, Beloniformes, Adrianichthyidae.
CAGUUACCUUAAAAAACAUUUCCUUCAAAGAGUUUGGAAAAUGAGUGCAUUUCUCGUGAGAGAACUCUCACCAUCCCGUUUCCUGACUCUUACCUUCGAGGCGCAUCCCAACAUGGAGGCACUUCUGAAACCUGCAGAACGGACAGCGCUUCCUCUGAGCUUUGUCGAUCCGGCACUGCUGGUUGUCCACGCAGGUGUAGGUCUUGUUGUUCUGGACAGUUCUUUUGAAAAAUCCCUGCAGACGUUUAAAAAAAAAA